RNAcentral lists this ribosomal RNA (636 nucleotides) under uncultured bacterium. RNAcentral describes it as "bacterial SSU rRNA". It matches the Rfam family "Bacterial small subunit ribosomal RNA", at positions 214 to 867 of the family's 1533-position model. The record is from RNAcentral.
AUCGGUAAGAGAUCAGCUUGUACAGUAUCAGUUAGUUGGUGGGGUAAUGGCUUACCAAGACUAUGACGCUUAACUGGUUUGAGAGGAUGAUCAGUCACACUGGAACUGAGACACGGUCCAGACUCCUACGGGAGGCAGCAGUGGGGAAUAUUGCACAAUGGACGAAAGUCUGAUGCAGCAACGCCGCGUGGAGGAUGACACAUUUCGGUGCGUAAACUCCUUUUAUAUGAGAAGAUAAUGACGGUAUCAUAUGAAUAAGCACCGGCUAACUCCGUGCCAGCAGCCGCGGUAAUACGGGGGGUGCAAGCGUUACUCGGAAUCACUGGGCGUAAAGAGCAUGUAGGCGGAUUGAUAAGUUUGAAGUGAAAUCCUAUAGCUUAACUAUAGAACUGCUUUGAAAACUGUUAAUCUAGAAUGCGGGAGAGGUAGAUGGAAUUUCUGGUGUAGGGGUAAAAUCCGUAGAGAUCAGAAGGAAUACCGAUUGCGAAGGCGAUCUACUGGAACACUAUUGACGCUGAGAUGCGAAAGCGUGGGGAGCAAACGGGAUUAGAUACCCCGGUAGUCCACGCCCUAAACGAUGCACACUAGUUGUUGUGAGGCUAGACCUUGCAGUAAUGCAGUUAACACAUUAAGUGU